Molecule: long non-coding RNA, 234 nt
Filed under: Theobroma cacao (cacao)
Lineage: Eukaryota; Viridiplantae; Streptophyta; Magnoliopsida; Malvales; Malvaceae
Description: long non-coding RNA (TCAC_LNC003196)
Source: RNAcentral
UAACUUUGAAUCAAAAUAGUGAUAUACAUUGCCAACUCGUACUGGCAUUACUCCUUAAAAAUUUACAUACAAUGUCUACAACAUGUAUUCUAAUAAUUUACAUUAAGUUCGUCUAUACAAAACAAAAUAACACUCGACUUCCAGCGGAGUGACUCGGAUGAAUAUACAGCUACCGAAUGCCGAGACACCUACCAAAAGAUGGACACAGGUCUACAAGGACACCUCGUCCUAGUU